RNAcentral lists this long non-coding RNA (554 nucleotides) under Neogale vison (American mink). Its description in RNAcentral is "Neovison vison (American mink) lncRNA (ENSNVIG00000007433.1)". The record is from RNAcentral. Lineage: Eukaryota; Metazoa; Chordata; Mammalia; Carnivora; Mustelidae.
CCAUGCGAAAGGGACACGCGCCAAUCCACAUUAAAAAAAAAAAAAAGAAAAAGAAAAAGAAAAAGAAAACAGUUUGUGUGUUUUGUAAAAUCCACAAGAGCAGCAAUUAAUAUUCCCAUAGAAUGACUUUAUUUUUUAUUAUUAUUAUUAUUUUGUCUCUCCCCUUUGUUUCCAGCGCCAGCCCCUGGCUCAGUGCCUGGUGCCAACAGAACACCUUUCAGGAUCCACAGCAACGCAGACAACACCUUUAUGCUCCCUUCUCUGCCUUCUUCGGAGCUGUAGAAUUGGCAUCGUUCCCUGAGGUUUUCCAAAUGGCAAGUGGCACCGGCUGUGGCAUGUAUUCAUGCCGCUUCCUAUGGCAUUUCUCUUCCGAUGUCUGCUUUUGCUCUUUGUUUGUUGUUGACUAGGCUGAAUGGUGGGGUUUUUUUUUUUUUUAAGUUAAUUAUAAACGAAGUUGAAUAGCAAACAAACCAACAGCUUGCCCAAAAAGAAAAAAGAAGAAAAAAAAAGCCCCACACAAGCGCCUUCUGCUGCAACAGAUGCCCAGAUCACCC